This 166-nucleotide ribosomal RNA is filed under the name uncultured bacterium. RNAcentral describes it as "partial 16S ribosomal RNA". It matches the Rfam family "Bacterial small subunit ribosomal RNA", at positions 200 to 353 of the family's 1533-position model. The record is from RNAcentral.
ACCAAAGAGGGGGACCUCGGGCCUCUUGCCAUCGGAUGUGCCCAGAUGGGAUUAGCUUGUUGGUGGGGUAACGGCUCACCAAGGCGACGAUCCCUAGCUGGUCUGAGAGGAUGACCAGCCACACUGGAACUGAGACACGGUCCAGACUCCUACGGGAGGCAGCAUG